GAUGAACGCUGGCGGCGUGCUUAACACAUGCAAGUCGAACGGGAUCCAUCAGGCUUUGCUUGGUGGUGAGAGUGGCGAACGGGUGAGUAAUGCGUGACCGACCUGCCCCAUACACCGGAAUAGCUCCUGGAAACGGGUGGUAAUGCCGGAUGCUCCGACUCCUCGCAUGGGGUGUCGGGAAAGACUUCAUCGGUAUGGGAUGGGGUCGCGUCCUAUCAGGUAGUCGGCGGGGUAACGGCCCACCGAGCCUACGACGGGUAGCCGGCCUGAGAGGGCGACCGGCCACAUUGGGACUGAGAUACGGCCCAGACUCCUACGGGAGGCAGCAGUGGGGAAUAUUGCACAAUGGGCGCAAGCCUGAUGCAGCGACGCCGCGUGCGGGAUGACGGCCUUCGGGUUGUAAACCGCUUUUGAUCGGGAGCAAGCCUUCGGGUGAGUGUACCUUUCGAAUAAGCACCGGCUAACUACGUGCCAGCAGCCGCGGUAAUACGUAGGGUGCAAGCGUUAUCCGGAAUUAUUGGGCGUAAAGGGCUCGUAGGCGGUUCGUCGCGUCCGGUGUGAAAGUCCAUCGCUUAACGGUGGAUCUGCGCCGGGUACGGGCGGGCUGGAGUGCGGUAGGGGAGACUGGAAUUCCCGGUGUAACGGUGGAAUGUGUAGAUAUCGGGAAGAACACCAAUGGCGAAGGCAGGUCUCUGGGCCGUUACUGACGCUGAGGAGCGAAAGCGUGGGGAGCGAACAGGAUUAGAUACCCUGGUAGUCCACGCCGUAAACGGUGGAUGCUGGAUGUGGGGCCCGUUCCACGGGUUCCGUGUCGGAGCUAACGCGUUAAGCAUCCCGCCUGGGGAGUACGGCCGCAAGGCUAAAACUCAAAGAAAUUGACGGGGGCCCGCACAAGCGGCGGAGCAUGCGGAUUAAUUCGAUGCAACGCGAAGAACCUUACCUGGGCUUGACAUGUUCCCGACAGCCGUAGAGAUAUGGCCUCCCUUCGGGGCGGGUUCACAGGUGGUGCAUGGUCGUCGUCAGCUCGUGUCGUGAGAUGUUGGGUUAAGUCCCGCAACGAGCGCAACCCUCGCCCUGUGUUGCCAGCACGUCAUGGUGGGAACUCACGGGGGACCGCCGGGGUCAACUCGGAGGAAGGUGGGGAUGACGUCAGAUCAUCAUGCCCCUUACGUCCAGGGCUUCACGCAUGCUACAAUGGCCGGUACAACGGGAUGCGACACGGCGACGUGGAGCGGAUCCCUGAAAACCGGUCUCAGUUCGGAUUGGAGUCUGCAACCCGACUCCAUGAAGGCGGAGUCGCUAGUAAUCGCGGAUCAGCAACGCCGCGGUGAAUGCGUUCCCGGGCCU
This 1347-nucleotide ribosomal RNA is filed under the name uncultured bacterium. RNAcentral describes it as "bacterial SSU rRNA". It matches the Rfam family "Bacterial small subunit ribosomal RNA", at positions 28 to 1381 of the family's 1533-position model. The record is from RNAcentral.